Trichobilharzia regenti is the source of this 46-nucleotide non-coding RNA. NCBI's taxonomy places the organism in Eukaryota, Metazoa, Platyhelminthes, Trematoda, Strigeidida, Schistosomatidae. The record is from Rfam.
GUACCAAUGAAGAGUCCCAAACUAGGACGAAACAGUUGUCCAGUAC